AUGUGCAGACAUCACACAAGCAACAUUGAACUUUUCACCUCCCUAUUUACCUCCAUUUUCAUCUUCUAUGCAUUCUUAGAAAAAAAACCCUAAUACUCUUCAUUGUGAACCAGCCACAUAUCAGACCUUCUAUCUGUUUCCUUCUCACACUCUCAACCCUAGACAAUCUACACACACAAGCAGACACCCCCUCCCCUGUCUCGUGCCUUGACCGGCGACCGGAGUAACUCCGGCGCCCACCUUCUCCGCCCAAGACGCACCCCGAAAACCCCUCUGGUUCUCCUCCCUUUGACUGACGAACGGCCACCACCACCAUUGUCCGGUGGUGGCGUAUGGCGGCGUCUGCAUAAACGAGAGAGAGAGACGAAGAGCGUGAGAGAGAGAGAGAAAAGUCAGGAGAUGAAAGGAGAAAGCUGGCGACCGGUGACGACGCACGACGGCGGGCGGCGACGGCGGCCAGCGACGACUCUCGGCGGCGGCAAUGGAAGUGACGGCGGCGGUUCAAGGCCUUCGACAGUUCCGGUUCGUCUCCAGCGGGUCUGGUUCAGGUUUGCGAAUCGUGUUUUGGGCCAGCAGGUUCAAGUCGGUUGCAUUCCGCUCUCGGCUGCACAUCUCGGGUCAACAGUGAGUUCGAGUCUUGGUUCUGUGCGGGUCAGAUUUCGUUGAUUUAGAGGACGGCUCGGGUCACGGUCUGGUUGGGAUUCAGUCAACUGUCGAGUCAAACGGUCAAGCCCGGUCGACUAACGGGUCAAUGGCUCAUUCUAGAUUCGGUCAAUCGCUCUUGUUCGUUCUCUUGGAAUUCCGUUUACUCAUGCACCAUCGUCUGCCCAUAUAGGGUGACCUCGGUGUUCCAUCAUCCUUACCUCACACUCGUCGACACUUGGAUAAUCGGAAGACUUAGCAAUUAUGUUGUUAGACAAGACGAUGAAGAAAUCAAGUUAGGAUGGACUUAGAUACUCAUUCAAUAAUAAACAAUGUUGUUGCAAUUUGUCUUAUUUGAAACCAUGUAUUCAAAUUUUAGUCAUUUAUGAAAUUGGAUUUAA
This is a long non-coding RNA of Helianthus annuus (common sunflower), 1043 nucleotides long. RefSeq lists it as uncharacterized. The record is from RefSeq and is a predicted model, not a curated record. The transcript is spliced from 4 exons. NCBI's taxonomy places the organism in Eukaryota, Viridiplantae, Streptophyta, Magnoliopsida, Asterales, Asteraceae.